UAAAAUUAUCUCACAAUCAAAACAUGAUCACACCUUAGUACUCUUUGGGUGUUAAGCACAUAGCGAUGUGAACUAGAUUAUUGACUCUAGUAAACCCUUUGAGUGUUGGUCACAUAGAUAUGUGAACUAUGGGUGUUAAUCACAUGGUGAUGUGAAUUGUUGAUGUUAAAUCACAUGGCGAUGUGAACUAGAUUAUUGACUCUAGUGCAAGUGGGAGACUGAAGGAAAUAUGCCCUAGAGGCAAUAAUAAAGUUAUUAUUUAUUUCCUUAUAUCAUGAUAAAUGUUUAUUAUUCAUGCUAGAAUUGUAUUAACCGGAAACAUAAUACAUGUGUGAAUACAUAGACAAACAGAGUGUCACUAGUAUGCCUCUACUUGACUAGCUCGUUAAUCAAAGAUGGUUAUGUUUCCUAGCCAUAGACAUGAGUUGUCAUUUGAUUAACGAGAUCACCUCAUUAGGAGAAUGACGUGAUUGACUUGACCAAUUCCGUUAGCUUAGCACCCGAUCGUUUAGUAUGUUGCUAUUGCUUUCUUCAUGACUUAUACAUGUUCCUAUGACUAUGAGAUUAUGCAACUCCCGUUUACCGGAGGAACACUUUGUGUGCUACCAAACGUCACAACGUAAAUGGGUGAUUAUAAAGGUGCUCUAUAGGUGUCUCCAAAGGUACUUGUUGGGUUGGCGUAUUUCGAGAUUAGGAUUUGUCACUCCAAUUGUCGGAGAGGUAUCUCUGGGCCCACUCGGUAAUGCACAUCACUAUAAGCCUUGCAAGCACUGUGACUAAUGAGCUAGUUGCGGGAUGAUGUAUUACGGAACGAGUAAAGAGACUUGCCGGUAACGAGAUUGAACUAGGUAUCGAGAUACCGACGAUCGAAUCUCGGGCAAGUAACAUACCGAUGACAAAGGGAACAACGUAUGUUGUUAUGCGGUCUGACCGAUAAAGAUCUUCGUAGAAUAUGUGGGAGCCAAUAUGGGCAUCCAGGUCCCGCUAUUGGUUAUUGACCGGAGACGUGUCUCGGUCAUGUCUACAUAGUUCUCGAACCUGUAGGGUCCGCACGCUUAACGUUACGAUGACAGUUUUAUUGAGUUUUGAUGUACCGAAGGAGUUCGGAGUCCCGGAUGAGAUCGGGGAUAUGACGAGGAGUCUCGAAAUGGUCGAGACGUAAAGAUCGAUAUAUUGGACGACUAUAUUCGGACUUCGGAAAGGUUCCGAGUGAUUCGGGUAUUUUUCGGAGUACCGGAGAGUUACGGGAAUACGUAUUGGGCCUUAUUGGGCCAUACGGGAAAGAAGGAAAAGGGCCUCAAGGGUGGCCGCACCCCUCCCCUUGGUCUGGUCCGAAUUGGACUAGGGAAGGGGGGCGCCCCCUUCCUUCCUUCUCUUUUUCCCUUCCUCUUUUCCUAUUCCAUAUGGGAGGUGGAAUCCUACUAGGACUAGGGAGUCCUAGUAGGACUCCACACUUGGUGCGCCCCCUCCUAGGGCCGGCCUCCUCCUCCCUUGCUCCUUUAUAUACAGGGGCAGGGGGCACCCCAUGGACACAACAAUUGAUCCUUGAGAUCUCUUAGCCGUGUGCGGUGCCCCCCUCCACCAUAUUACACCUCGAUAAUACCGUUGCGGAGCUUAGGCGAAGCCCUGCGUCGGUGGUACAUCAUCAUCGUCACCACGCCGUCGUGCUAACGAAACUCUCCCUCAACACUCGGCUGGAUCAGAGCUCGAGGGACGUCAUCGAGUUGAACGUGUGUAGAACUCGAAGGUGCCGUACGUUCGGUACUUGAUCGGUCGGAUCGUGAAGACGUACGACUACAUCAACCGCGUUGUGAUAACGCUUCCGCUGUCGGUCUACGAGGGUACUUGGACAACACUCUCCCCUCUCGUUGCUAUGCAUCACCAUGAUCUUGCGUGUGCGUAGGAUUUUUUUUGAAAUUACUACGUUCCCCAACAAAUUUUAGUUUCAAUAAUACUAGAGGUUUAUAAAAGCUUUUUAGUUGAUUCCUUUUGCUAUUAGAGUUUCAUUAAAGUUUUAUAGUUCAUUCUUUUUGCUAUUAGAGUUUCAUUAAAGUUUUCUAGUCCAUUAUUUUUUCUAUUAGAGUUUCAUAAAAGUUUUCUAGUUCAUUCUUUUUAUAUUAGUUCAUUCUUUGAGCUAAAUGACCCUGAAAUUGAAAAGCACUUCAAAUGAACUCUGAAGAGGUUGAAUGUUGGCAUGGUAUCAUCAUUUCACCCACAUAGCAUGUGCUAAAAAGUUGAGAGGGUUACGGCAAAAACUGGAUGCACUUCGUGUACAAAAUGGACAAUCUCUUUCGAAGUAUCAGGGUUUCGGACGAAAACUCAUCUGUUACAAAGGGAUUUCAUUUUUUUGAACUUAUUUGAACUUCAGACUUUUUGUGUGUUUAAAAUGCAUCAUUCAAAGCCACAUCAUCAAUUUUCAACCCUUUCUGACUUCAUUUGUUAUUUUUCAUGCAUUUACUGAGUUUUUUGAGCUAUAUGACCCUGAAAUUGAAAAACACUACAAAUGAACUCUGAAAGGUUGAAAGUUGGCAUGGUAUCAUCAUUUCACCCACAUAGCAUGUGCUAAAAAGUUGAGAGGGUUACGACAAAAACUAGAUGCACUUCGUGUACAAAACGGACAAUCUCUUUCGAAGUACCUGGGUUUUAUACGGAAACUCAUCUGUUACAAAAGGCAUUUCAUUUCUUCACAUGUAACUGCAGUGAUAUUCUAGAUCAAAGGCAUCAUCAUAAUAGUUGUGGAGAGAAAGUCUUCACUUUUUCUUCGCUUGUGUCCUUUGCUUAUUGCGCUGUAACCAUGGACAAUCUUCAUCGUUUAACAGGGUGCUUGGGUCAGCCUUGACUUUGAAGGGAGGAAUUUCAUGAAACUUUUCAUAAUCUUCAGACAUGUCUGUCUUGCCCUCCAAUCCCACGAUGUCUCUUUUUCCUGAAAGAACUAUGUGGCGCUUUGACUCAUCAUAUGAUGUAUUCGCUUCCUUAUCUUUUCUUUUUCUCGGUUUGGUAGACAUGUCCUUCACAUAGAAAACCUGUGCCACAUCAUUGGCUAGGACGAAUGGUUUGUCUGUGUACCCAAGAUUGUUCAGAUCCACUGUUGUCAUUCCGUACUAUGGGUCUACCUGUACCCUGCCUCCUGACAGAUUGACCCAUUUGCACUGAAACAAAGGAACCUUAAAAUCAUGUCCGUAAUCAAGUUCCCAUAUGUCCACUAUGUAACCAUAAUAUGUGUCCUUUCCCCUCUUGGUUGUUGCAUCAAAGCGGACACCACUGUUUUGGUUGGUGCUCUUUUGAUCUUGGGCGAUCGUGUAAAAUGUAUUCCCAUUUAUCUCGUAUUCUUUGUAAGUCAAUACAGUCGAAGAUGGUCCCUUGACCAAUGAGUACAGCUCAUCAGAAACAGUGUUGUCACCUCUGAGACGUGUUUCCAACCAACUGCCGAAAGUCCUGAUGUGUUCACAUGUAAUACAGUCGUCACACUGCUCUGGGUGUUUGAAGCGCAGAAUGUUCUUGUGUUCAUCGACAUACGCGGUCACCAUGGUAGAGUUCUGUAGAACUGUGUAGUAUGCUGGAGACCAAGAAUGCCCGUCCCUACAUAUUAUUGAGUCCCCUCCUAGCAUGCCUUUUCCAGUCAAUCUCCCCUCAUACCGCGAUUGAGGGAGACCAAUCUUCUUAAGGUCAGGAAUGAAGUCAACACAAAACCCAGUGACAUCCUCUGUUUGAUGGCCCAUGUAGAUGCUUCCUUCUGGCCUAGCGCGGUUAUGGACAUAUUUCUUUAGGACUCCCAUGAACCUCUCAAAGGGGAACAUAUUGUGUAGAAAUACAGGGCCCAGAAUGACAAUCUUGUCGACUAGAUGAACUAGGGCGUGCGUCAUGAUAUUGAAGAAGGAUGGUGGGAACACCAGCUCAAAACUGACAAGACAUUGGGCCACAUCACUCCUUAACCUUGGUAGGAUUGCUGGAUCGAUCACCUUCUGAGAGAUUGCAUUGAGGAAUGCACAUAACUUCACAAUGGCUAAUCGAACGUUUUCCGGUAGAAGCCCCCUCAAUGCAACCGGAAGCAGUUGCAUCAUAAUCACAUGGCAGUCAUGAGACUUUAGGUUCUCGAACUUUUUCUCUGCCAUAUUUAUUAUUCCCUUUAUAUUCGACGAGAAGCCAGACGGGACCUUCAUACUGAGUAGGCAUUCAAAGAAGAUUUCCUUCUCUUCUUUGAUAAGAGCGUAGCUGGCAGGACCUUCAUACUGCUUUGGAGGCAUGCCGUCUUUUUCAUGCAAAUGUUGCAGAUCCUCCCGUGCCUCCGGUGUAUCUUUUGUCUUCCCAUACACGCCCAAGAAGCCUAGCAGGUUCAUGCAAAGGUUCUUCGUCACGUGCAUCACGUCGAUUGAAGAGCGGACCUCUAGGUCUUUCCAGUAGGGUAGGUCCCAAAAUAUAGAUUUAUUCUUCCACAUGGGUGCGCGUCCCUCAGCAUCAUUCAGAACAGAUAGUCCGCCGGGACCCUUUCCAAAGAUUACUUGUAAAUCAUUGACCAUAGCUAGUAUGUGAUCACCGGUACAGAUGGCGGGCUUCUUCUGGUGAUCUGCCCCGCCUUUGAAAUGCUUGCCUUUCUUUCGACAUUGAUGGUUGGCCGGAAGAAAUAGACGAUGCCCCAGGUACAUGUUCUUCCUGCAUUUGUCCAGGUAUAUACUUUCGGUGUCAGCUAAACAGUGUGUGCAUGCGUGGUAUCCCUUGUUUGUCUGUCCUGAAAGGUUACUGAGAGCAGGCCAAUCAUUGAUGGUUACAAAUAGCAACGCAUGCAGGUCAAAUUCCUCCUGUUUGUGCUCAUCCCACACACGUACAUCGUUUCCAUUCCACAGCUAUAAAAGUUCUUCAACUAAUGGCCUUAGGUACACAUCAAUGUCGUUGCCGAGUUGCGUAGGGCCUUGGAUGAGAACUGGCAUCAUAAUGAACUUCCGCUUCAUGCACAACCAAGGAGGAAGGUUAUAGAUACAUAGAGUCAUGGGCCAGGUGCUGUGAUUGCUGCUCUGCUCCCCAAAAGGAUUAAUGCCAUCCACGCUUAAACCAAACCAUACGUUUCUUGUGUCACCUGCAAACUCCUCCCAGUAUUUUCUCUUGAUUUUUCUCCACUGCGACCCAUCAGCGGGUGCUCUCAACUUCCCGUCUUUCUUACGGUCCUCUCUGUGCCAUCGCAUCAACUUGGCAUGCUCUUUGUUUCUGAACAGACAUUUCAACCGUGGUAUUAUAGGAGCAUACCACAUCACCUUGGCAGGAACCCUCUUCCUGGGGCGCUCGCCGUCAACAUCACUAGGGUCAUCUCGUCUGAUCUUAUACCGCAAUGCACCGCAUACCGGGCAUGCGUUCAAAUCCUCGUACGCACCGCGGUAGAGGAUGCAGUCAUUAGGGCAUGCAUGUAUCUUCUGCACCUCCAAUCCUAGAGGGCAUACAACCUUCUUUGUUGCGUACGUACUGUCGGGCAAUUCGUUAUCCUUUGGAAGCUUCUUCUUCAAUAUUUUCAGUAGCUUCUCAAAUCCUUUGUCAGGCACACCAUUCUCUGCCUUCCACUACAGCAAUUCCAGUACGGUACCGAGCUUUGUGUUGCCAUCUUCACAAUUGGGGUACAACCCUUUUUUGUGAUCCUCUAACAUGCGAUCGAACUUCAGCUUCUCCUUUUCACUUUCGCACUGUCUCUUUGCAUCAACAAUGACCCGGCGGAAAUCAUCAUCGGGCACAUCGUCUGGUUGCUCUUGAUCUUCAGCUUCCCCCAUUGCAGCAUCACCGUAUUUAGGGGGAACAUAGUUGUCAUCAUCCUCUUCUUCUUCGUUGUCUUCCAUCAUAACCCCUCUUUCUUCGUGCUUGGUCCAAACAUUAUAGUGUGGCAUGAAACCCUUAUAAAGCAGGUGGGUGUGAAGGGUUUUUGAGUCAGAGUAAGACCUCGUAUUCCCACAGCUAGGGCAUGGACAACACAUAAAACCAUUCUGCUUGUUUGCCUCAGCCACUGCGAGAAAAUUAUGCAGGCCCUCAAUGUACUCGGAGGUGCGUCUGUUACCAUACAUACAUUGCCGGUUCAUCUGCGUGCAUUAUAUAUAAUUAAGUGUGUCAAAAACCAUUACAGAACAUGAUGAAUAGAUAAGUGACCAAUCUUACAAGUAAGAAUUUUUUUCUUUUAGAAAGAAGAUAAGAACAAGAGGCUCACCACGGUGGUGUGCCGGCGACGAGAUCGGCGCGGGCGAUCGACGGCGGUGAAGACGGGGACGGGACGUGACGGACCGCUAAACCUAGACAAAUCUUGAGGAAAAUGGAGUUUGGAGGUCGAGCUUGGAGAGGAGAAAGCUUAAGUAGUGUGGCUCGGGCAUUUCAUCGAACACCUCAUGUGCAUAGGAGGUGAGCUAGAGCACCACAAAGCUCUCCCUCGCUGGCCAGAAAAAACAGAGCAGUGGAAUGCUCUGCUCGCGGGCGAGGGGGUAUAUAUAGGCACCUCAUUGGUCCCGGUUCGUGGCUGGAACCGGGACUAAAGGCCCCCCUUUGGUCCCGGUUCCAGACAUGAACCGGGACCAAUGGGCCUCGCUCCUGGCCCACAACCAUUGGUCCCGGUUCGUGGCUGGAACCGGGACCAAAGGGGACAGAUGAACCGGGACCAAUGCCCCACGAGGCCCGGCCGACCCCCUGGGCGCACGAACCGGGACCUAUGCCCCCAUGGGUCCCGGUUCAUGACUGAACCGGGACUAAUGGGCUGGUCAGGCCUGGACCAAAGCCCUGUUUUCUACUGGUGGAGAGAGAGAGAGAGAAUGGGAGUCAGAGGCGGUUGUGGCAGCUGGAGGACAGCAUCUAUUUUGGUCAAAACCAUCUAACCCAUUUACCACAUCAACUAAAAAAAUGCUUAAGGGGGCGAUUUAAAUGUCGUUGCAUGUACACUCGCAUAAACCAGACUAAAUUUCACUCCAGGAGUUAUUUAUCGGCUUCAAAUAGACUUAUCUUUACUGUUAAAGGGGGUUUGCGGUUGUGAUGGUAGGUUUGAUGUUUAUACGUUCGUUGGUCACCCCUCCUCCUAUCAGUGUUGUCCUUUCCUUGGAAACAAACAUUACCAGCAACUGCCACCGUACCGACCUAAAAUGCUUUAGCGAUGCGUAUGGCAACCAACACACCUCGUACCCCCGCUAAAGCCACUGUAUCCCCCUCCAGGAAUGCGCAUGGCUACUGUGAAGGAGGCGCAGUGCUUCCGCCCGCUCGAUGAGGCUACAUCUGGGCCAUCUGGCUCUCCCUGCCACGACGCGCUCACUUUCAGGGAGGCUCGGCGACAGCAACCUCAACUUCAUGUACAACUCACCUCUGACCCUGGCGUCGUCGUCACAAGUAGGUUUGUGCCUCUGCCCACCGGUGCGCCACCGUCUGCUCCUUGCCCAUGUCUUAUCAACCUCUUUGAUCCCAUGCAUGGUCGCGCUCACACCCGUCCUUGUCGUCGUAGCGUACAUCUUCCACGUGGACCCCACCUCCGUCAUCAGGGGUGAUUGGUCAACGGUGCUGCGCAAGCAUGUGCAAGCUAAUGUUGUCGUGUACUCCCUCCGUUCCAAAUUACUCGUCGCAGAAAUGGAUGUAUCUAGAACUAAAAUACAUCUAGAUACAUCCGUACCUGCGACAAGUAAUUCGGAACGGAGGGAGUACAUCCCAGUGAUUCCCCGACAUCAAGUCCGGUGAUGCACAUUGGAGUUCGCGGUUGUCCGCCUAUGUGUUGCACCAAAGGACACAAUCGCUAGGUGAUGUACUAAUGUCCACUGUACCUAUAAAAACUGGACUGUAUUUGAAGUUAGAAGUAAUUGAACCCAAUCUGUUACUUGCACCUUACCUAAGUUUUGUUCUUGCAUUUUGUCCUUCGUUUCCCUUAUCAUCUACUCCCUCCGUUCCAAAAUAUAAGUCUUUCUAGAGAUUUCAAUACGUGACUACAUACGGAGCAAAAUGAAUGAAUCUACACUCUAAAAUAUGUCUUCGAAAUGUCUAAAAAGACUUAUAUUUCGGAACGGAGGGAGUAAUUAUCUGUAGAAGCUACUACAUCAAAUUAAGUAAGUACAUCCUUCUUUCUUCUCCAAGUUUGUUCUAUUAUGUUCAUCGGAAGUCUGUAAAGUGGAGUUGGGACCAAGAGAGUGGCGUAGAUUUGCUUGAGGUUUUGAAUUAUUUUCUACUGUCAUAUUUGCAUGUUAUAUUGUUUGCAUAAUGAUUAGUGUCAAAAAGUAGUGGCAACCAUUUGGUUGAGUAAGCUCAUGUUUUUACUCAAUCCAGAAUUACCGGUAAAACACAGAAGUUUAUUGUGAUAUGAUUUGCAUGAAAACGCUCAUUUGACUUUGGUGAAUGCUUCAUCUAAUGUAUAUUCCUCCAUACAAAUAAUUUAAUUUAAUUUGAGCAGAAUACUUUAUGGAUGGAUGCAAGAAGAGGACUACUAAACAUGAUUCUUUUAUAGUUAGUUGGCUCUUUUAUUUGGAGUGAAAUAUAAGUUGCAACCCAAUUAGUUAUUUUAUCUGCUAUCACAUGCUUCAUGUGAGAAAUUGCAAAGAAUAUGUUUUGAAUUAGCACUUUAGCUCUUGAUGCACCGUCAUUCAUUGCCACCUCAUAGAGAUUAUUGGCAAGAUAGCUGAGAGGAAGAGAGUGAAACUAUGAUAACAUAUAUUAUAGAGAUUUCAGACCCAAUAGUAUUUGCAGUCUUGUUGUGGAUCGUUUGCAAGUUUUUUGGCUAAUAAGUGUCAGCAUUGCAUGCCUGAUUGGGUUAGUCAACCCCAAUGUUCUCUAUUGCAAGUUAGAAGAAUUUAAGAUGAUGAUCCUAAGCUAUGAAAUCAACAACGUCAAGCAUAAAUAUAAUAUCGAUGUCGUCAAUAAAUGUUCUUGACAAAGCCUUUUCAGAUAACAUAAUGGAGCUUUAUUUGCAAAGUGGUAAAUGGAUCUAGUAAAGGUUUUUUGGACCAUUAUUCGUUUGAUACAAUUUUGUAAUCUACACAUGGUCGCAUUUAAAACAACACUACGUUUGAGUGAGGUGAGCAUUAGUGAACAAUCAUAGCUGACAAGGAGGAAGAUGGGACAACUAUGAGGAGCUCGUCAUAGUGGGAUCUAGGUUGUCGGUUGGCCUUGGUCAGGAGGUCGGAGGAAGGGGCGAGAGGCACCGAUGAUGGAGGUGUACAUCCUGCUUCCCCCUCGUCUCCCUAGACAUGGAAGACCUCCUUGACAAGAGCCAUGGUUAAAUUUGUAAAUUGCAAGACAUUGUGCAUCAAUGUGCACAUAUCAUAAUGUACUGUGAGAAGUUUAAAGAAAGAGGGGAGAGUGUAGCUAAUCAUGUUUUUUUUCACUUUGAUUUUCUUAGCUACGCAUCAUGUUUGUUUUUCUUUAUAUUCCUUUGGUGAGUGUAGCUCAUCAUGUUUUUUUUUACUUUGAUUUUCUUAGCUACGCAUCAUGUUUGUUUUCCUUUAUAUUCCUUGUGGUCACUAAAUGAUGUCAAAGAAUAAGGAGGGACAAACAUCAUUACGUGCAUACGUCACCAGACAAUGUGCCACCAUCUCUUGGUGAGUCAGAACCUUUUUCACUUGUAUGACACGUACAAUACAGCAGCAUCUCUCGCCGAGGACCAUUUCAUAGAGUUGUUAUUAAAGUUAUAAAAAUGUGCCCACUCAAUGGUAAGCUGAGAUGGCCAACUUUUGAAACGACAAUGUUNNNNNNNNNNNNNNNNNNNNNNNNNNNNNNNNNNNNNNNNNNNNNNNNNNNNNNNNNNNNNNNNNNNNNNNNNNNNNNNNNNNNNNNNNNNNNNNNNNNNNNNNNNNNNNNNNNNNNNNNNNNNNNNNNNNNNNNNNNNNNNNNNNNNNNNNNNNNNNNNNNNNNNNNNNNNNNNNNNNNNNNNNNNNNNNNNNNNNNNNNNNNNNNNNNNNNNNNNNNNNNNNNNNNNNNNNNNNNNNNNNNNNNNNNNNNNNNNNNNNNNNNNNNNNNNNNNNNNNNNNNNNNNNNNNNNNNNNNNNNNNNNNNNNNNNNNNNNNNNNNNNNNNNNNNNNNNNNNNNNNNNNNNNNNNNNNNNNNNNNNNNNNNNNNNNNNNNNNNNNNNNNNNNNNNNNNNNNNNNNNNNNNNNNNNNNNNNNNNNNNNNNNNNNNNNNNNNNUGGUUUUCUCUUUUUUGGUUUUGUUUGCAAGGUUUUUCUUUUCUCUUACUAUUUCAUUUUCUUUUUUUUUAAAUUCAUGAACCUUUUUCUCAAAUUCAUGAACCUUUUUCAAAUCCAUUGACAUUUUAUUAAAUCCAUGAACUUUUUUUCAAAUGCAUGAAUGUUUAGCAGAUCCAUGAUCUCUUUUCAAUCUGCAUGAACAUUUUCCAAAGUCCAUGAACAUUUUCAAAUUCGUAAUCAGUGAAGUUUUUCAAAUUCUAUGAACUUUUUUCAAAUGUCAUGAACUUUGUCAAUAUUUUGAACUUUUCUUACAUUUGUAAACUUAUUUUCAAAUUUCAUUUUUUUUCAAAUCUCACAAAGUGUUUCAAAUUUGUGGAGCCUUUUCCAAAUUUGUGAAUUAUUUCAAGUUCUUGAUGUUUUUCUCAAAAUAGUCAUUUUUUUGUAAUUUUUUUCCAUUCUUUGUGAUUUUUUUCGAAUUCAGUUUUUUUGCAACUUCGAGAACUUUUUUGAAAACCGCAAAGUUUUCUCAAAUUCAUGAAAUUCUUUUAAAUUCAUAAACUUUUUUCAAAUCCACAAACUUUCUUUCAACUACACGAAACUUGUGAUUGUUUUCAAAUUCAUGAACUUUUAUGAAAGCAACCGAAAUCCUCAAAAAAGUCAAAAUUGCACGGUUUUUUAAAUUCAUAAUUUUUAGAUCUUUUUUGUGCUCAAAUUUUAAACUGUAUAAAACCAAUGGUCAUGCCAGUAACAUUAGGAAACAGCUAACCUAAAAGAACAACCAAUGAUCCUCAUUUUUUUGAGGAACAAUGAUCCUUGUUUUUCUUUUUGAGCGGUACCAAUGAUCCUCUUUUUUUUAGGAAGCAGCUAUCCUCGCGUGAGGGAGAGGUGGGAUAGUGGGUUGCGUCCUAACCCAACGAGACACAUUUUUUUUUCAAAUGGCUGAAGUAUGGGAGCAACUAACCAAGGGGUACCCCUUGUGGGAGCCCCAUAAGAGUCACUAGUGGUUGAGGGGCCACCCUGUGGCGCCGCUUAAGAGGAAGUUAUGUGCAUGUUUUCAUUUAAGAAAAGCAUGUGGUCCUCGCCUCUAUCUAAAAAACAUCUCAGAAAAAAAAUCCUCACUUCCAUGUAAAAGAAGAAAAGAAAAGAAAAAUACCACCGUAGCCUACCGGCGAGCGCCACUUUGCAUAACCCUUCAUUUUAAAAAAUACGUGGGUUUCUGACCACCAUCCAAAAACAUUUCAGAAAAAAUCUUCGCCUCUAUCUAAAACAUAUUCCAAAAGUUUUCUCAUCGCGGUCAACCAGCUUGCGCCAUGUGGCAUGGCUGGUUGGCCGCCAAUCUCGCGAUGCUUAAUAGGUUUAAUUUUUGGUGGGCAGAGAAUGCGUCACUUGGCGCGCUUUCAGCAGUUGCCAUGUGUCGCGUGCUAGACGUUACCUUGUGUUUUUUAUAUUUUUUGUAUGUGUUUUUGGGUAUUAGAUUUUUUUGGUUUCUUUUUGAAUUUUUGAUUUUCUUCGGUUUUUCUUAGGUUUUGGUGAGAAAGAAAACGUGUUUUUUUAUGAGAGACACAGAUUUGAUUCUCGUGAAGGCACUGGUUUGCUUCCGCUAGAGGCACAUAUAUUUUUCUCAUGGAGGCAUUGGUUUGAUUCCUCGACAGGCACCGAUUUGCUUCUGGUGUAGGCACAUGUUUUGCGUGGAAUUUUUUUUCGUCAAAACAUAUCAACGUGGGAUACAGUUUCGAAGAUCUCGACGCUAGAAAUCCAUCGAUAAAAAUGAUUCGUAAUUUGGACCCAUGGUUUAAGAAAUAAAAUAUUUUAAAUAAACGAAUCUAUGAAAAAAAACUAGCAGGUUGUACACAUAUAUUGCGUUCCUUGUGGCAACCUGAGAAGAAAGGUGGGAGUGCGCGAACGUCUUGGACGCAGCAGCAAAGUCUCUGUGGAGGACGUUGCUGCUGGGCCUGCACGCGCCCGGCCCCGAGACUUCGGGCCUGCGCACAGCCGGCCCACGCAGCCCAUGGCCCGCGGGCGAUAAGAGAAGGGAAAACCUGGCCCUGGCCGCUAGAAAGUUGCGUGUCCGGCUCCCCCACCUGCGCCGAGCCGCGCCGCAACGCCACCUCGCCUUUCCCUCCCCCCCUUCCCUUCUUCCUCCUCCCUUUCUCUCUCGCCCGCCACCAUUACCGCCGCCGCCCCCCCACGCAACCCUAACCCUACCCCGCGCCCCCGCCCACCGCCGGUACCCCGGCCGGUGCCCGAACCCGCCCGCGCCCAUGGAGCCCGAGCAGCCGGCGGCCGACCCCGCCGCCGCCGAGCCGGAAGACGAGGAGGAGGAGGAGGAGGAGGAGGAGACGGAGGCGCCCGACGCGGAACAGGAGGCCGCGGAGGACGAGGAGGACGCGCUGCUCGACCGCGCGCAGGCCCUGAUCUCCCGCGUCGUCGAGCAGGAGAGCAACCCCAACCCGCGCCUCAUCCACACCCUCGCCACCAUGUGCGAGGUCCAGGAGGCCAGGUACUCUCUCACCCAUCCCCUUCCUGCCCUUCCGCCCGCCGCGGCGGGGAAUUCGGCUCCGCCCCGCCGCGCCCCGCCUGUGUCGAAUUGAUCGAUUGGUUGGUGUCUAGGGCUUCCCCUCCCCGCGUUCGCGACACGGCUUGUUUCUCUCGCGGGAGAGAGGCAUCAGGUGUUCUUGGGCGCCUUCUCGCAAAGUCUUGAUACUAUUUUUUUUGUUCUGUUCAUACGACAUUUAUGCCGUUUGCUUGCGGGCUAGGAAGCCGAUGUAGUGAAGAAAGGCAUAAAGAUGGAGUGGCUAUGCAAGUCAAGCCCAGCGAGUGGAGUGGAUUGUAGUGGUUGAUAAAUAAAAACAAAAAAAAUAAUAGUACUGUCGUGUGCUUGCCAGUGUGUCAUCAUGCGUACAAAGCAGUUGGGGUUGACCCUGUAUUUUUGUCUGAUUUGAUCUCGGCAAAAUCAGUGAUAUGUUGUCGAGGUUUUCAGAACCCGGUGCAAGUUUAAUCUCUCUGUCUUUUUUUAUAUAAUCCACAGUAAGUACAUAUAUGAAAGCACCUGUUUGAUUGAGAUUUGUAGGCUUGUAGCACAUAGUGUUUGCCGAGUCACAUUGCUCCUGAGACAUUCCUUAUAAAUUCCUUUAGAUGGUGCUCAGUUCGAAUAACAUUGAUGAGCUAAGAAGCUGUAUGAAAUCUGCUAUGUGGUUUACAGUAUGGAGCCUCGUGCUUGAUCGAGAUGUAUAGCUCAUAAUGUUUUUGGUGAAUCACAUUGCUCCUAAUAUUUCUCAUUUCGCUCAUCAUAACCAUGCCUAUGUCCCCUGCAGGCACCUGCAGGAAUGCGCUAGUGAUCCGUCCUUCAAUAACACAAACACAAGGGGCUCCCAUACUAUAGGCAAGCUGGCGAGUUUGAUCAGGGUGCGUCUUCUGCUUCUUUUCUGCGUCCAUCGGCCUAAUAACCCGAGUCUUACCUGUUUAUUGCUGAGAUUAAUCGUUGCUGCCUCGACUGUGUCUGCAGGAGAAUGAUGAUUUCUACGACCUAGUGUUUUCUAAGUUCUUGUCAGAUACAUCGUACCCUUUGCCAGUACGCUGUGCUUCUGCUAGGCUGCUCCUAAGCAUCCAGGAUGCAUUUUCGGUUAGCUUACUGCCCCUACCUCCCUCCCUUCAUGCAUGCACACUCUUUUGCAUUGCGAUCAUACUUCAGUCUUCUUCUGUUUCCUACACUACAUUCUAUUAACUUGACGCGUGUUUGUGUCCUCAGCCUCAGUUUUCUCAUCCUUUUGAAGAUGCUACCCUAGAAAAUAUAAAAUCCUGGAUAAAGGAAGAUGGUGAAGCAUCGGAUGAAUGUGAUUGGAAGCAUCUAGGAAGUGGUAAAAAACCCACAGAUACUGAGAUGAUGAGAACAUAUGCUAUUGGGUUGCUCUCGAUGGCGUUGUAUGGGUACUGUCAUGUCUUACCAAUAUGAGAUCUUAUAGCAUUCUUCUUUUCUUCAUCAGCCUUUCUGUUAUCAGUAAUCUGAUUGUUGCACUUUGUUCUUUUGCCAGUGGUGGGCGUUUGGUAGAAGAUGUCUUGAACAUGGGAGUAUCAGCCAAGCUCAUGCGUUUUCUGCGAAUACGAGUCUUUGGUGAUGCCACAUCUCCAGAGAAAGAUGCCAAUCUUCCACUAGAUACCAAGCAUCCUCGGGGUAGAGAUGAGAAUAGGGGCAAAGUACGAUUGCUUCAAGACAGUUCUAUACUGGACGGAACAAGGGCUGGAGAUGGAAUAUCGACUGACCCAACUUUGGAAAAACAGUUUGAUCGUGAUGUUGGGAUGAGGCAAGCACACGGAGAACAGGGGAUGGAUGACACUGGUUACCUGCUACGUGAUGAUGUUGAUUCUACAAUGGAUCCUUUUGAUGCAAAGUCAGUCGAUGGGGAAAAGUAUCCUGCAGGUGAAAGCCUGAGAGAUGAACUCUUGAAGAGAAAGUUCAGCCGUACAGGAUCUCGACUAAGAGGGAAAAUCAAACCAGGUGAAGGCUUGCCUGAAAGUGAACGGACACCUUUAUCGCCAACAGGAUUGAGAAUGGGAAGUCGGACUAGCAAAGAAAAGAAUGCGGCUAAGGUCGAGGACCCAAAGAAAGCAAUCGAUUUGAACAAUAGCUCUGCAGCCCCCGAGUCUGAUAUUCUUAGUAUUUCUAAAGAAGAGUAUGAGGACCGGUUCAGGGAUUGCAUUAUCGGCUUGAAGGAUAUAACUGACAUUGUCUUGAAGGCAGUGAGAGCUGCAGAAGCGGAAGCCAGAUCAGCGAAUGCUCCUGAGGAAGCUGUGAAAGCAGCAGGUGAUGCUGCUGCUGAGCUUGUGAAAUCUGCUGCUUUAGAGGUAUGGAAUAAGACAUCUCUGCACCUCCCACAAUAGGAAUACUUAUACUUGACACUGAUUCAUUUUCUGCUUCACUAUAUGUUAGUAACUUUUGAGACGCUGUGUUUUUGAAGGCUUGGAAGAGUGAAAAUAGUGGCGAUGCCGUUGUAUUAGCCGCUGAGAAAGCUGCAGCUACUGUAGUCGAUGCUGCCAUGUCCACUAGCGUCUCAAGGUAAUGGAAGAAACACAUCCUCUCUGUGUGUGUCUGUUUGUGUUUGUGUCGUCUUAUUUCAUUAUAUUAUUGUUCCUUUUCUGAGUUUUGUUUGGUAUUGCAGAAGCUCUGACCAGGUUAAUGAGGAGCAUGUUGUUGAAGAAGCUGUGAAAAUUAGUGAGGACCAGGAUCUGGAAGAUUUUGUUAUCAUUGACCAGGAGCAGCUCUUGCUACUUAGGGAAAAAUAUAGCAUUUUGUGCUUGCAGUAUCUUGGAGAGUACGUUGAAGCUUUGGGUCCUGUUCUUCAUGAAAAAGGUGUUGAUGUUUGCCUCGCAUUGCUGCAACGGGGAAUCAAAGACCAGGAGGGAUGUGGCCACGUUUCACUACUUCAUGAAAUUCUUAGAUUGAUUUGUGCCCUGGCCGCACACCGGAAAUUUGCUGCGCUAUUUGUUGACCGGGGUGGUAUUCAGAAGAUCCUCUCUGUCCCUAAGAUUACUCAGACAUACACUGCUCUGUCUGCAUGCUUGUUUACUUUCGGUUCUCUCCAGGUAAACAUAUAAACCUAAACUGGCUGGUCAUGCAUUCUGUUGAUCUAUCCAUGGUUUCCCUUGACCGUUCAUUUAUCUUAUUGCUAAGCAUCCUCUGUUCUUGCAGUCUACCAUGGAACGUGUUUGUGCGCUUUCACCUGACACACUCAACAAUGUGGUUGAACUAGCGCUGCAACUCUUAGAAUGCCCACAAGAUGCAGCUAGAAAAAAUGCAGCCAUAUUCUUUGCUGCUGCAUUUGUGUUCAAAGCUGUUCUGGAUUCAUUUGAUGCACAGGAUGGGAUGCAAAAACUUCUGAAUAUAUUACAAGUUGCUGCAUCCGUAAGGUCGGGUGGUAACUCUGGAGCAUUAGGAUCCUCCAAUGCGAAUCAAGGGAAUGACCGAUCGCCUGCUGAAAUUCUGACUCAGUCAGAAAAGCAGGUCGCGUAUCAUUCAUGUGUUGCACUACGUCAAUAUUUUAGAGCUCAUCUCCUUCAGCUUGUUGAUUCCAUCCGGCCAAGCAAGAGCAUCCGUAGUAUUGCUCGGAAUACUUCCAGUGCAAGAGCUGGUUACAAACCUUUUGACAUCGGCAACGAGGCUAUGGAUGCUAUUUUUCGUCAGGUCCAGCGGGACAGAAAGUUAGGACCUGCUCUCGUAAGAGCUCGCUGGCCCGUGAUGGAUAAAUUCUUGGCCUCUAAUGGUCAUAUUAUCCUGCUAGAAUUAUGCCAGGUAAAAAUAUGGUAUUGUUUUUCUUUUCUACUUCCUCUGAGAAAUAGAAUGUUUGCAGUUAAGCUGAUUUGAUUUACAACAAUCUGUUUCAGAGUCUACCUGCUGAUCGGUAUCUUCAUGACUUGGCUCAGUAUGCAUUUGGAGUUCUUCACAUCAUAACUCUUAUGCCACACAGCCGCAAAUUGAUGGUGCAUGCUACAUUAACUAACAACCGUAUUGGUAUGGCUGUUAUACUAGAUAUAGCAAACAGUGUUGUUGGCUAUGUUGAUCCUGAGGUGUGUUUUUCCUUCUCAAGCUAUGCAUUAACUAAGCUUUACAAAUCCAACAGUAUUUGCCUUGCUGAAAUUCUUCCAAAUAAUGUAUCCUUUUACCAUCUUUUGUGCAUUAGGUGAUUUGUCCAGCAUUGAAUGUGCUUGUCAAUCUUGUAUGCCCCCCUCCAUCGAUCAGCAACAAGCCGUCCUCAGCUGUUAAUCAGCAGCCUGCAGGAAGUUAUUCAGAGAGCAGAGACAGGAAUGCUGAAAAAAGCACUUCAGAAAGAAAUGUUGCAGCGAACCAAAGUGAAUCUCGGGAACGAUAUGGCGAUGGCACACCUGUUGUGUCAUCUGGAGUUGUUGGUGACAAGAGAAUAUCGCUAGGUGUAGGAGCUGGGGGUCCUGGUCUUGCUGCUCAAUUGGAACAAGCUUAUCGCCAAGCUCGAGAAGUAGUCAGAGCCAAUAAUGGUAUAAAGAUUCUUUUGCAGCUUCUUGGCACUCGGAUGGUUACACAUCCUUUGGCUAUUGAUCCUAUUCGAGCCCUUGCCUGUCGUGUACUGCUUGGCUUGGCUAGAGACGAUGCUAUUGCACAUAUACUGACGAAGCUCCAGGUAUCGUGGACAUCAGAUCAAUGCACUUCUUUUCAUGCUCUAGCUAUGACCUGUAAUGUAGAAACUUUAUCUUACUAUUGCAUGACUACUAUCUCAAUAAUGAGCAACUGCUAGUGACUACUCCCUCUGUUUCACAUAUAGGGGUCUAUCCCUUCCCCCCUCUUGCCUUGUUUCGAAAUGUAAGUCUACUACAGAAUUAGUAGUGUAGUUAAUGAGGUAUUGCUGUCUUACAAAGGUUGAACACUACCUAUUCAAACUAAAUCAUGGGAUAGUUGGCUAAACAUGUUCACCUUUCCCUUUCCCCCUCAAUUUCUCUUCCUUUGUCUGUGUGAAAAAUGCCAUGAGAUGAAAGGGAGUGAGUGGCAACCAAGCCUAUUCUUUGUUCUGAUAAUAGGGCUGGCAAACUGCCCCUCUCUGAUAUCCUUCUUUUAUCAUCUCUUUACACGUCUCCUAUUCCUGGGCAACUUUGUUUUUGCGGAUGUGCCUCCUAGGUCAGUAACUUAAUUAUUAACAUGUUAUUUCAGGUAGGGAAGAAAUUAUCAGAACUUAUUCGUGAUACGAGUACCCAGUCAUCUGGAGGUGAUAAUGCAAGAUGGCUAAAUGAACUGACCCAAGUGGCAAUUGAGCUCAUUGCGGUAAGGAACACAUAUUGUAUUGUGUUACUUUGAGUUGCCCAAGAUUUAAUAUUUGUUGAGUUUUUUGCUGGUAUUUUGCUGUUCAUCAAGUCAACGAACACACUGCUUGUUUUAUCUGUUUGAUAUUCCUUGGUUACUAUGGAUAUUGUAUAAUCAAGCAUGCUUAUUAAAGGUAAAAGUAGUGCUGAUGUGGGAGUACAACUUGUGGUCCUUUGACGUUAUCCAGUUAUGCUUGCUUCCAGUGGGAUGUUUUAUGUGAUAGACUUCCCUAAUUUAAGAUUUUAAUGUGUGCCUAACAUACUGUGUUUUGAAUUUGCACAGCUGAAAUGGGAAAGAUGAGCUGAAUGAAUGUUUUUUUUUCUCCUGAUAGGUCUUGACUAAUUCUGGUAAAGAAACAACCUUAGCAACUGAUGCUGCUGCUCCAGCGUUGAAGCGCAUUGAGCGAGCUGGCAUAGCAGCUGCUACUCCUGUCUCUUACCAUUCCAGGUUUGACUUCGUGUGAUAUUUUCCUUUUUAAUUACCUUUCCAGCUUCAGAAUCCUACAUUUGCUCUUCUUUUGUGUGUAGGGAACUGAUGCAACUGAUACAUGAACAUCUCGUUGGAUCUGGUUUGGCUGCUACUGCUGCCAUGUUGCAGAAGGAGGCUGACCUUGCACCUUUGCCAUCAACUGCUGCAGUGCUACCUGUCCACCAGCCCGCUGCCCUGGAACCAUCAUCUGUUCAAGUUCAACAACAGUGGCCUUCUGGCCGUGUUCAGGGAUUUCUGUCCGACAAAACAAUGAUUGCUGCAGAUCAAGCUGGCCAACGAUCAGAUUCUGUUGUGCCUUCGUCUAAGAAGAAGGCACUGGUAUUCUCAUCCAGUUUCUCUAAACGAAAUCAACCCUUUGUUUCGUUUUCUGGUAAUAGAGCAAGCAAUAGCCUGAAAAGUCCUGUACCUGCCGGAAAUGUGGACGGUAUGACUUGCUCUGCCUCUGCUGCCAAUACUGGAGAUGUGGAGACAUCGCAUAAAACACCAAUGCCCUUGCCACUUAAGAGGAAGCUUGCGGAUAUGGAGUUUAGUUCUGCAUCAGCAGCAAAGCGCCCUGCAAUAAUGGAUCAAGCAUCCCAAUCUCCUGUGUUCCAAACUCCUGCUCCUACUCGCAGAGGCCUCUCUGUGGCAGUGGAUUCUCCUACUGCAGCAUUUCAUCCAGGAAGGACAAACUUCAACAACAUUUCCACUGAGAACUUUGAAGAUUCUCAAUGCACACCUGGAGUGGUAACAGGCACACCACAUCUUGGUGUAAAUGAUCAACAACCAGGAACUUCGGAGCGCAUGACGCUCGACUCAUUGGUUGUACAAUAUUUGAAACAUCAACACCGCCAAUGUCCUGCUCCAAUAACAACUUUGCCGCCAGUCUCUCUGCUGCACCCUCAUGUUUGCCCCGAGCCUAGCCGCAGCAUUAGUGCACCAGCAAAUGUAACUGCUCGCAUGGGAAGCCGUGAGAUAAACAGGGAGUUUAGCGGGAUCAAAGUGCCCCGCAGGGAUCGCCAAUUUAUAUACAGCAGGUUCAAGCCAUGCCGUGUUUGCCGUGAUGAGGCCUCGCUGUUGACUUGCAUGACUUUUAUUGGAGGUGCAUCAAGGGUGGCGGCUGGGAACCAUAGUGGUGAAUUAAGAAUAUUUGACAGCAACCUUGCAAAUCUCAUAGAGACGCACACUUGUCACCAAAAUCUUGUUACUAUGGUGGAUUCAACAUCUAUUGGUGGAACUGAGCUGAUUCUCUCAUCUAGCAUAGAUGAGGUUAAGCUCUUUGAUGCUUUCUCACUGCAUACGGGGCCUUUGCACACAUUUGAGAACUGCAAAGCUGCCAGGUUUAACCAUGCUGGGACUUUAUUUGCCGGCCUUUCUACGGAUGCAAAUCACCGGGUGGUUCUAUUGUAUGAUGUCCAGACGCAUAAUGUUGAUAUGCAGCUUCCUGAUAACUCCAGCCUGCCAGGUUCAGGCCGGGGUGUACAACCCAUUAUACAUUUCAGUCCUUCAGAUGAUAUGUUGCUGUGGAACGGGGUCCUGUGGGAUAGACGAAGUCCCACUCCUAUCCAUCAGUUUGACCAGUUCACAGACUAUUGUGGCGGUGGCUUUCAUCCAGCUGGAAACGAGGUAAUCUUUUUCUUUGACUGCAGUAAUUGAUUAUUCUUUCAAUUUAUAUUCCUUCAAACUUGUAUCAGGCAUGCAUUUUUGCCCUCACUAGGCCACCACUUUUCUUGCCAUGACGUUUGUGUCAGUUUGCCGUUCUCAAACCACAACAGUCGUAGAUGGAAAUUAAGUUAUUUUAUUAUGCUCACGAAGUUACAUUUAUGCAUAUAUUUUGGAUGCACUAUUUGUGUUUCUGGGAUUCUACACUAACAAGUUACAGCCGACACAAGUCCAAUCAAGUGUGGUGUGAGAUCUUCUGAGCAAACUUGUUGGCCUUUCCUUAAAACAAUAAAAUUUGCUGUUAAGUUCAACAACAUGACCAGCUGAAGUCUAUUCCAACUCAGCCACUGUGCCAUUUAUACUGCAAGAAUGCCUAAGCAUAGUAAGAGAAGCAUGGUAGUCAGAUAUUUAUCGCCUGUAGGUUUACAUGCACUGAAAAGUGUAAAAAAAUAUGACAUGGCUCGGGAACGACGCAUAAGAGUACUUUCUUAUAGUAUUUGUGUCAAAUAGGAUGUUCAGCAUUUGAUUGCUUAUUCAGAAGUGUAUGACCGUACUUGUUUUGAUGGAAUACUGCUGUGAAUAAAUUUGGUUUCCUGAAUGUCACUGUAAAAUCUUCCUUUACUCUGUUGUUUAGGGGGGAAUUCGUGUCUACUGCACACAUCUUCUCAUCUCUGUCCACAUUGUUUUGCAGGUGAUUCUAAAUUCAGAGGUGUGGGAUCUGAGAAAGUUUAAGCUUCUGAGGAGUGUCCCAUCCCUGGACCAGACAGUAAUCAAAUUCAAUGGAAGUGGUGAUGUUAUCUAUGCUAUCCUCAGGCGUAACCUUGAGGAUGUAACAUCAUCCAUCCAAACCCGGAGGGUCAGACAUCCCCUGUUCCCUGCAUUCCGCACGAUCGAUGCUGUCACUUACGCAGACAUUGCAACUGUCCAAAUAGACCGUGGCGUCCUCGACCUUGCCACUGAGCCCAAUGAUUCCCUUCUCGGAGUUGUUGCCAUGGACGAUCCUGACGAGAUGUUCUCCUCUGCUCGCAUAUUCGAAGUUGGCAGGAAACGACCAACUGAUGAUGACUCGGACCCGGAGGAUGGAGGGGACACGGAGGAUGAGGAUGAUGACGACGACGACUCGGACGUGGAUGUCCUCCUCGGGACCGAUUUAGGGCUUGGGGACACGGAUUCUGAGGAUGAUCCAAGUAACAGCAGCGGUGAUGAUGGCGGUGACGAUGAAGACGAGGAGGAUAUGGACAGUGGGGAUGAAAACGAUGACGACGAUGAGGAAGGUGACUUUGAUGUGGGAGGGGGCUUGCUGGAGAUGAUGGGUGGCGGGGAUGGUGAUGAGAGUGGUGACAUGAUUGAGUCCUUCAGCAGCGGUGAGGAUGAAGGGUGGCUCAUGUGAGAGCAGAUGAUGAUUCUCUUUUCUUUCUACGCAUGGUCGCAUCGCGGUGGCGAGGGCGUCGUGUGGGGAUUCAGGAGGCGAAGGAGGCAAGGCAAGGCUAGGAGCUGGACGAGAAACGGCGUCUUUGGGUCACCGACAGGGCGCAAACAACAAAUGCAAAUCUGUAUGCUCAGAUUACAGUUGUAAAUUAUUGCCUUGUUGGGAGAAAGUUUACGUUACGUGGGUUGGGAGUAGUAGCUGUUGUUACCUGUGAGAGCGCAACGCAAGUCUGAGGCAUUAGGUGUUGUAUGUAAAAGCAAGCUGGUAAUUUUUCGCUGUUUCUCAUCAGUUGAAAAUUUUGGAAAUAUCAUGUGUUGAUGCUGUGCUGUCUGAAGAGUUCUGUUCCUUUUUACUGUUUACUUGGGUUGUUUCAUUUCAUGGCAAUUGUUCUGAGACGCUUUUUAUAAUUGCUGCACACCAAGUGACUUCAAAAGCUCUUGACCCAGAGCCAGAGCCAUACUUGAUUUUUAUAUGGUGUUUGUUACUAGGAGCAUUAUUAUCUACAUGUAUGUAUGUACCAGAGCCAGAGCCAUACUUGAUUUUUAUACGGUCAUCAGUCCAGUGGGCUGCUGCCACCCAAAUCCUUUCUUUACAAUCUCUCUACCUUCAAACAACACAGAAAGGGAUUCAAAAUAUCUAUUAAAAACUGUAGAAAGGAAUGUCGGUACAACCCAACAAGUAAAUAAAUGUACUGAAAGCUGAUACAUGCACACACAAACACAAUGCUUUAGUUUAAAAGAAAGAAAAGCGAGACACUUUGCACAAGCAUCAGGUUCUUCGCAGCUGACGAAGACCUGAAAGCGGGUGAACAGAACACUCAACAAUUUUUUGAAGACAAACAUUCUUUUUGAAAUGCAUGAACAUUUUUCAAAUUUGUGAACAUAUUUUGAAUCAACAAACAAUUUUUGAAGCGGUGAAAUUUUUUGCAUUUUUUGGAACAUUUUUGAAUUUUGUGAAUAUCUUUUUACCGUUCAUGAAUAUUUUUUAAAUUCAUGAACAUUUGUUCAAAUUCACAAACAUUUUUUUGAAUCCACGAACAAUUUAUGAUUUCCCAAACAGUUUUCAGAAUCAUGAACAAUUUUUUAAUUCAGAAACAUUUUAAAAUAUCUUGAUUUUUUUAGAAUUCAAAUUAUUUUGAAAUUUGGAACUUUUUUAGUCCCUAAUUAUUUUAAAAUCAUAUCUGAAAAUAGAGAAAGGAUUUUUUAAAGAAAGUAUGAAAAAACCAAAAAUAAAACCACACACAGAAAAAUAAAAAUAAAAGCCAAAGCGAAAAAAUGGAACAAAAAUCCCCAAAAGAAAACAUAUCUACCGAAUGGGCCGGCCCAUUUGGUUGCGGCAUGAGAGAAGCCUCGCUUGGAAAAUAGGGUUGGCCAGUCCUAGCGACCCAAUGGGUCGAGGCCUGAUCCGCGCUACAAUGUACGCCCCGGAUUGGAGUAAGUUAUCGGCUGCCUUCACUAAGGGCAUGUACAAUGGUUGAUAAGAUAGUCUUAUCUUAAGUCUUGCAUGUAAGUUAGAGAUGACAAAAAAACAUGUCUACACUAGGUCAUCUCUUAGCUUUCUCUUAAAUAAGAGAAGACAAGCCUUUUCUUAUGAUUUCUCUCUCCUCCCCCUCGUUAUUUAUCCUACAGGAUACCGGAGGAAUACCUUCUGUGCUAUCAAACGUCACAACGUAACUGGGUGAUUAUAAAGAUGCUCUACAGGUAUCCCCGAAGGUGUUUGUUGGGUUGGCAUAGAUCAAGAUUAGGAUUUGUCACUCCGAGUAUCGGAGAGGUAUCUCUGGGCCCUCUCGGUAAUGCACAUCAUAAGAAGCCUUGCAAGCAAUGUGACUAAUGAGUUAGUUGCGGGAUGAUGUAUUACGAAACGAGUAAAGAGACUUUUCGGUAACGAGAUUGAACUAGGUAUGAAGAUACCGACGAUCGAAUCUUGGGCAAGUAACAUACCGAUGACAUAGGGAAUAACGUAUGUUGUCAUUACGGUACGACCGAUAAAGAUCUUCGUAGAAUAUGUAGGAACCAACAUGAGCAUCCAGGUUCCGCUAUUGGUUAUUGACUGGAGAGGUGUCUCAGUCAUGUCUACAUAGUUCUCGAACCCGUAGGGCCCGCACGCUUAACGUUCGAUAACGAUUUUGUAUUAUAUGAGUUAUGUGAUUUGGUGACCGAAUGUUGUUCAGAGUCCCGGAUGAGAUGACGGACAUGGCGAGGAGUCUCGAAAUGGUCGAGAGGUAAAGAUUGAUAUAUAUAGGACGAUGGUAUUGGGACACCAGAAGUGUUCCGCAGGGUACCAGGUACAUAUCGGGUCACCGGAAGGGGUUCCGGGCAACCCCGACAAAGAUAUGGGCCUUAUUGGGCCAAGAGAGGGACAGACCAGCCCACAAGGGGCUGGUGCGCCCCCAUAUAGGCCGAAUUAGGAGGAGAAUGAAAGGAGGGAAGGGAGAAGGAAAGGGGAGGAUUCGGCCUCCCCCUUUCCUUCCCUCCCCCUCUCUUUCCUCCCCCCUCCGAUACUUAUGGAAGGAGGGAGGCCGACUUGGAGGAGGCACCCAAGUAGGAUCCCUCCUACUUGGGGUGCCCCUUGCUGCUCCCCUCCCUCUCCCACCUAUAUAUAUGUGGGCGGGGGGCACCGCUAGAACACACAACAUUGAUUCCUAGCCGUGUGCGGCGCCCCCCCUCCACAGUUAACGCCUCCGGUCAUAUAUUUGUAGUGCUUAGGCGAAGCCCUGCGCGGAUCACUUUGAAGGAAAUAUGCCCUAGAGGCAAUAAUAAAGUUGUUGUUUAUAUUUCCUUAUAUCAUGAUAAAUGUUUAUUAUUCAUGCUAGAAUUGUAUUAACCGAAAACUUAGUACAUGUGUGAAUACAUAGACAAACAGAGUGUCACUAGUAUGCCUCUACUUGACUAGCUCGUUAAUCAAAGAUGGUUAAGUUUCCUAGCCAUAGACAUGAGUUGUCAAUUGAUGAUCGGGAUCACAUCAUUAGAGAAUGAUGUGAUUGACAAGACCCAUCUGUUAGCUUAGCACUAUGAUCGUUUAGUUUGUUGCUAUUGCUUUCUUCAUGACUUAUACAUGUUCCUAUGACUAUGAGAUUAUGCAACUCCCGAAUACCGGAGGAACACUUAGUGUGCUAUCAAACGUCACAAUGUAACUGGGUGAUUAUAAAGAUGCUCUAUAGGUGUCUCCGAUGGUGUUUGUUGAAUUGGCAUAGAUCGAGAUUAGGAUUUAUCACUCCGAUUGUCGGAGAGGUAUCUCUGGGCCCUCUCGGUAAUGCACAUCACUAUAAGCCUUGCAAGCAAUGUGACUAAUGAGUUAGUUGCUGGAUGAUGCAUUACGGAACGAGUAAAGAGACUUGCCGGUAACGAGAUUGAACUAGGUAUGAUGAUACCGAUGAUCGAAUCUCGGGCAAGUAACAUAUCAAUGACAAAGGGAACAACCUAUGUUGUUAUACGGUUUGACCGAUAAACAUCUUCAUAAAAUAUGUGGGAGCCAAUAUGAGCAUCCAGGUUCCGCUAUUGGUUAUUGAUCGGAGAUGAGUCUCGGUCAUGUCUACAUAGUUCUCGAACCCGUAGGGUCCGCACGCUUAACUCAAUGACGAUCGGUAUUAUGAGUGUAUGUGUUUUGAUCUACCGAAGGUAGUUCGGAGUCCCGGAUGUGAUCACGGACAUGACAAGGAGUCUCGAAAUGGUCGAGACAUAAAGAUUGUUAUAAUGGAAGACUAUAUUCGGGCAUCGGAAUAGUUCCGAGGUGUAUCGGGUAUUUUCCGGAGUACCGAGGGGUUACCGGAACCCCUCAGUGGGUUAUUGGGCCUCAUGGGCCUAGUAGUGGAAGAGAGGAGGCAGCAGCCAGGGAGGCGCGCGCCCCCCAAGCCCAAACCGAAUUGGACUAGGGGUUGGGGGGCGGCCCCCCUUUCCUUUCUCUCCUCCUCCUCUUUCCCCCUUCUCCUAGUAGGAAUAGGAAGGGGGGGGGGAAUCCUACUUGGAGUAGGACUCCCCCCCUUGGGAGCGCCUCUUCCUGGCCGGCCUCCUCCUCCCUCCCUCCUUUAUAUACGUGGGAGUGGGGCACCCCAAAGACACACUCAAGAUUUGUCUUAGCUGUGUGCCCCCCUCCACAGUUACACACCUCGGUCAUAUCAUCGUAGUGCAUAGGCGAAGCCCUGCGCCGGUAACUUCAUCAUCACCGUCACCACGCCGUCGUGCUGACGGAACUCUCCCUCGGCCUCAACUGGAUCAAGAGUACGAGGGACGUCAUCAAGCUGAACGUGUGCUGAACACGGAGGUGCCGUACGUUCUGUGCUAGGAUCGGUCGGAUCGUGAAGACGUACGACUACAUCAACCGCGUUGAUAAACGCUUCCGCUUUCGGUCUACGAGUGUACGUGGACACACUCUCCCCGCUAGUUGCUCUGCUUCUCCUAGAUAGAUCUUGCGUGAUCGUAGGAAUGUUUUGAAAUACUACGUUCCCAACAAUGGCAUCCGAGCCAGGUCUAUGCGUAGAUGUUAUAUGCACGAGUAGAACACAAAGAGUUGUGGGCGAUAAUAGUCAUACUGCUUACCAGCAUGUCAAAUUUGAUUCGGCGGUAUUGUUGGAUGAAGCGGUCCAGACCGACAUUACAUGACCGCGUUCAUGAGACUGGUUCUACCGCCGUGCUUCGCACACAGGUGGCUAGUGGGUGUCUGUUUCCCCAACUUUAGUUGAAUCGAGUGUGAGUACGCCCGGUCCUUGUUGAAGGUUAAAACAACACACUUGACGAAAAAUUGUUGUUGUAUUGAUGCGUAGGUAAGAACGGUUCUUGCUAAGCCCGUAGCAGCCACGUAAAACUUGCAACAACAAAGUAGAGGACGUCUAACUUGUUUUUGCAGGUCAUGUUGUGAUGUGAUAUGGUCAAGAUGUGAUGAGAUAUAAAUUGUUGUAUGAGAUGAUCAUGUUUUGUUAAAGUUAUUAGCAACUGGCAGGAGCCUUAUGGUUGUCGCUUUAUUGCAUAAGAUGCAAGUGCCAUAUAGUUGCUUUACUUUAUCGCUAUGCGAUAGCAAUAGUUGCAAAAGCAAUAGUCGGCGAGACGACCAUGUGACGACACGUUGAUAAAGAUCAAUAUGAUGGAGAUCAUGGUUUCAUGCCGGUGAUGAUGGAGAUCAUAAUGGUACUUUGGAGAUGGAGAUCAAAGGCACAAGAUGAUGAUGGCCAUAUCAUGUCACAUAUUUUGAUUGCAUGUGAUGUUUAUCCUUUAUGCAUCUUAUUUUGCUUAGUACGACAGUAGCAUUAUGAGAUUUCUAAAAUUUCAAGGUAGAAGUGUUCUCCCUGAGUAUGCACCGUUGCGACAGUUCUUCGUGCUGAGACACCACGUGAUGAUCGGGUGUGAUAAGCUCUACGUUCACAUAAAACGGGUGCAAGCCAGUUUUUCACACGCAGAAUACUCGGUUUAAACUUGUCGAGCCUAGCAUAUGCAGAUAUGGCCUCGGAACACUAGAGACCGAAAGGUCGAACGUGAAUCAUAUAGUAGAUAUGCAGAAUACUCGGUUUAAACUUGUCGAGCCUAGCAUAUGCAGAUAUGGCCUCGGAACACUAGAGACCGAAAGGUCGAACGUGAAUCAUAUAGUAGAUAUGAAUAUAUGAUAAACAUAGUGAUGUUCACCAUUGAAAACUACUCCAUCUCACGUGAUGAUCGGACAUGGUUUAGUUGAUAUGGAUCACGUGGUCAUUAGAUGACUCGAGGGAUGUCUAUGUAAGUGGGAGUUCUUAAGUAAUAUGAUUAAUUGAACUUUAAUUUAUCAUGAACUUAGUCCUGAUAGUAUUGCAUAACUAUGUUGUAGAUCAAUAGCUCGCGAUGUAGCUCCCCGUUUAUUUUUGAUAUGUUCCUAGAGAAAAAUAAGUUGAAAGAUGAUAGUAGCAAUGAUGCGGACUUGGUCCGUGAUGUGAGGAUUAUCCUCAUUGCCGCACAGAAGAAUUAUGUCCUUGAUGCACCGCUAGGUGAUAGACCUAUUGCAGGAGCAGAUGCAGACUUAUGAAUGUUUGACAAGCUCGGUAGGUAAGAACGGUUCUUGCUCAGCCCGUAGCAGCCACGUAAAACUUGCAACAACAAAGUAGAGGACGUCUAACUUGUUUUUGCAUAAGAUGUGAUGAGAUAUAAAUUGUUGUAUAAGAUGAUCAUCUUUUGUUAAAGUUAUCGGCAACUUGCAGAAGCCUUAUGGUUGUCUCUUUGUUGCAUACGAUGCAAGAACCAUAUAAUUGCUUUACUUUAUCGCUAUGCGAUAGCAAUAGUUGCAAAAGCAAUAGUUGGCGAGACGACCAUGUGACGACACGUUGAUAGAGAUCAAGAUGAUGGAGAUCAUGGUGUCAUGCCGGUGACGAUGGAGAUCAUGAUAGUACUUUGGGGAUGGAGAUCAAAGGCACAAGAUGAUGAUGGCCAUAUCAUGUCACAUAUUUUGAUUGCAUGCGAUGUUUAUCUUUUAUGCAUCUUAUUUUGCUUAGUACGACGGUAGCAUUAUGAGAUGAUCCCUCACUAAAAUUUCAAGGUAUAAGUGUUGUCCCUGAGUAUGCACCGUUGCGACAGUUCUUCGUGCUGAGACACCACGUGAUGAUCGGGUGUGAUAAGCUCUACGUUCACAUACAACGGGUGCAAGUCAGUUUUGCACAAGCAGAAUACUUAGGUUAAACUUGACGAGCCUAGCAUAUGCAGAUAUGGCCUCGGAACACUGAGACCGAAAGGUCGAGCGUGAAUCAUAUAAUAGAUAUGAUCAACAUAGUGAUGUUCACCAUGAAAAACUACUCCAUCUCACAUGAUGAUCAGACAUGGUUUAGUUGAUAUGGAUCACGUGAUCACUUAGAUGAUUAGAGGGAUGUCUAUCUAAGUGGGAGUUCUUAAGUAAUAUGAUUAAUUAAACUUUAAUUUAUGAUGAACUUAGUCCUGAUAGUAUUUGCAUAACUAUGUUGUAGAUCAAUAGCUCGCGAUGUAGCUCCCCGUUUAUUUUUGAUAUGUUCCUAGAGAAAAAUAAGUUGAAAGAUGUUAGUAGCAAUGAUGCGGACUAGCUCCGUGAUCUGAGGAUUAUCCUCAAUGUUGCACAGAAGUAUUAUGUCCUUGAUGCACCACUAGGUGACAGAACUGUUGCAGGAGCAGAUGCAGACGUUAUGAACGUUUCACAAGCUCGGUAUGAUGACUACUUGAUAGUUCAGUGCACCAUGCUUUACGGCUUAGAACCGGGACUUCAAAAAUGUUUUGAACGACAUGGAGCAUAUGAGAUGUUCCGAGAGUUGAAAUUGGUAUUUCAGACUCAUGCCCGUGUUAAUAGGUAUGAGACCUCUGACAAAAUACUUUGCCUACAAGAUGGAGGAGAAUAGCUCACCUACUGAGCAUGUGCUCAGAAUGUCUGAGCACUACAAUCACUUGAAUCAAGUGGGAGUUAAUCUUCCAGAUAAGAUAGUGAUUGACAGAAUUCUCUAGUCACUAUCACCAAGUUACUAGAACUUCGUGAUGAACUAUAAUAUGCAAGGGAUAACGGAAACAAUUCCCAAGCUCUUCGCGAUGCUAAAAUCGGCGAAGGUAGAAAUCAAGAAAAAGCAUCAAGUGUUGAUGGUUAACAAAACCACUAGUUUCAAGAAAAGAGCAAAGGUAAAGAAAGGGAACUUCAAGAAGAAUGGCAAGCAAGUUGCCACUCCCAUGAAGAAGCCCAAAGCUAGACCCAAGCCUGAAACUGAGUGCUUCUAACUGCAAAGGAAAUGAUCAAUGGAAGUGGAACUGCCUUAGAUACUUGGCAGAUAAGAAGGAUGUCAAAGUGAACAAAGGUAUAUUUGAUAUACAUGUUAUUGAUGUGUAUUUUACUAGUGUUUAUAAGCAACCCCUCGGUAUUUGAUACUGGUUCAGUUGCUAAGAGUAGUAACUCGAAACGGGAGUUGCAAAAUAAACAGAGACUAGUUGAGGGCGAGGUGACGAUGUGUGUUGGAAAUGAUUCCAAGGUUGAUAAGAUCACCAUCGCAUACUCACUUUACCUUCGGGAUUAGUGUUGAACCUAAAAUAAAUGUUAUUUGGUGUUUGUGUUGAGCAGGAAUAUGAUUGGAUCAUGUUUAUUGCAAUACGGUUAUCCAUUUAAGUUAAAGAAUAAUUGUUGUUCUAUUUACAUGAAUAAAACCUUCUAUGGUCAUACACUCGAUAUAAAUGGUUUAUUGAAUCUCGAUCGUAGUGAUACACAUAUUCAUAAAUAUUGAAGCCAAAAGAUGCAAAGUUAAUAAUGAGUGCAACUUAUUUGUGGCACUGCCGUUUAGGUCAUAUUGGUGUAAAGCGCAUGAAGAAACUCCAUGCUGAUGGGCUUUUGGAAUCACUUGAUUAUGAAUCACUUGAUGCUUGUGAACCAUGCCUCAUGGGAAAGAUGACUAAGACUCCGUUCUCCGGAACAAUGGAGCAAGCAACUGACUUAUCGGAAAUAAUACAUACUGAUGUAUACGGUCCGAUGAGUGUUGAGGCUCACGGAGGGUAUCGUUAUUUUCUGACCUUCACAGAUGAUUUGAGCAGAUAUGGGUGCAUCUACUUGAUGAAACAUAAGUCUGAAACAUUUGAAAAGUUCAAAGAAUUUCAGAGUGAAGUGGAAAAUCAUCGUAACAAGAAAAUAAAGUUUCUACGAUCUGAUCGUGGAGACAAAUAUUUGAGUUACGAGUUUGGUCUUCAUUUGAAACAAUGUGGAAUAGUUUCGCAACUCACGCCACCUGGAACACCACAGCGUAAUGGUGUGUCCGAACGUUAUAACUGUACUUUAUUAGAUAUGGUGCGAUCUAUGAUGUCUCUUACCGAUUUAUCACUAUCGUUUUGGGGUUAUGCAUUAGAGACAGCUCCAUUCACGUUAAAUAGGGCACCAUCUAAAUCCGUUGAGACGACACCAUAUGAACUGUGGUUUGGCAAGAAACCUAAGCUGUCGUUUCUUAAAGUUUGGGGCUGCGAUGCUUAUGUGAAAAAGCUUCAACCUGAUAAGCUCAAACCCAAAUCGGAGAAAUGCGUAUUCAUAGGAUACCCAAAGGAGACUCUUGGGUACACCUUCUAUCAUAGAUCCGAAAGCAAGAUAUUCGUUGCUUAGAAUGGAUCCUUUCUAGAGAAGGAGUUUCUCUCGAAAGAAGUGAGUGGGAGGAAAAUAGAACUUGAUGAGGUAAUUGUACCUUCUCUGGAGUUGGAAAGUAGUUCAUCGCAGAAAUCAGUUCCGGCGAUGCCUACACCAAUUAGUGAGGAAGCUAAUGAUGAUGAUCAUGAAACUUCAGAUCAAGUUACUACCGAACCUCGUAGGUCAACCAGAGUAAGGUCCACAUCAGAGUGGUACGGCAAUCCUGUUCUGGAGGUCAUGUUACUUGACCAUGACGAACCUACGAACUAUGAGGAAGCGAUGAUGAGCCCAGAUUCCGCAAAAUGGCUUGAGGCCAUGAAAUCUGAGAUAGCAUCCAUGUAUGAGAACAAAGUAUGGACUUUGCUGGUUGACUUGCCCGAUGAUCGGCAAGCCAUAGAGAAUAAAAUGGAUCUUCAAAAGGAAGACGGACGCUGAUAGUAGUGUUACUAUCUACAAAGCUUGAAUUGUCGCAAAAAUGUUUUCGACAAGUUCAAGGUGUUGACUACGAUGAGAUUUUCUCCCUUGUAUCUAUGCUUAAAAGUCUGUCCGAAUCAUGUUAGCAAUUGCCGCAUUUUAUGAAAUUUGGCAAAUGGAUGUCAAACCUGCAUUCCUUAAUGCAUUUCUUAAAGAAGAGUUGUAUAUGAUGCAACCAGAAGUUUUUGUCGAUCCUAAAGGUGCUAACAAAAUGAGCAAGCUCCAGCGAUCCAUCUAUGGACUGGUGCAGGCAUCUCGGAGUUGGAAUAUACACUUUGAUGAGUUGAUCAAAGUAUAUAGUUUUAUACGGACUUGUGGUGAAGCCUGUAUUUACAAGAAAGUGAGUGGGAGCACUACAACUUUUCUGAUAAGUAUAUGUGAAUGACAUAUUGUUGAUCGGAAAUAAUGUAAAAUUUUCUGGAAAGCAUAAAGGAGUAUUUGAAAGGAGUUUUUCAAAGAAAGACCUCGGUGAAGCUGCUUACAUAUUGAGCAUCAAGAUCUAUAGAGAUAGAUCAAGAUGCUUGAUAAGUUUUUUGAAUGAGUACAUACCUUGACAAGAUUUUGAAGUAGUUCAAAAUGGAACAGUCAAAGAAGGAGUUCUUACCUGUGUUGCAAGGUGUGAAGUUGAGUAAGACUCAAAGCCCGACCACGGCAGAAGAUAGAGAGAGAAUGAAAGUCAUUCCCUAUGCCUUAGCCAGAGGUUCUAUAAGGUAUGCCAUGCUGUGUACCAGACCUAUUGUAUACCCUGCCCUGAGUUUGGCAAGGGAGUACAAUAGUGAUCUAGGAGUAGAUCACUAGACAUUGGUCAAAAUUAUCCUUAGAGGACUAAGGAAAUAUUUCUCGGUUAUGGAGGUGAUAAAGAGUUCGUCGUAAAGAGUUACGUCGAUGCAAGCUUUGACACCGAUCUGGAUGACUCCGAGUCUCGAUCUGGAUACAUAUUGAAAGUGGGAGCAUUUAGCUAGAGUAGCUCCGUGCAGAGCAUUGUAGACAUAGAAAUUUGCAAAAUACAUAUGGAUCUGAAUGUGGCAGACCCGUUGACUAAACUUCUCUCACAAGCAAAACAUGAUCACACCUUAGUACUCUUUGGGUGUUAAUCACAUAGCGAUGUGAACUAGAUUAUUGACUCUAGUAAACCCUUUGGGUAUUGGUCACAUGGCGUUGUGAACUAUAGAGUGUUAAAUCACAUGACGAUGUGAACUAUUGGUGUUAAAUCACAUGGCGAUGUGAACUAGAUUAUUGACUCUAGUGCAAGUGGGAGACUGAAGGAAAUAUACCCUAGAGGCAAUACUAAAGUUGUUAUUUAUAUUUCCUUAUAUCAUGAUAAAUGUUUAUUAUUCAUGCUAGAAUUGUAUUAACCAGAAACUUAGUACAUGUGUGAAUACAUAGACAAACAGAGUGUCACUAGUAUGCCUGUAGUUGACUAGCUCGUUAAUCAAAGAUGGUUAAGUUUCCUAGCCAUAGACAUGAGUUGUCAUUUGAUGAAAGGGAUCACAUCAUUAGAGAAUGAUGUGAUUGACAAGACCCAUCCGUUAGCUUAGCACUAUAAUCGUUUAGUUUGUUGCUAUUGCUUUCUUCAUGACUUAUACAUGUUCCUAUGACUAUGAGAUUAUGCAACUCCCGAAUACCGGAGGAACACUUAGUGUGCUAUUAAACGUCACAACGUAACUGGGUGAUUAUAAAGAUGCUCUACAGGUGUCUCCGAUGGUGUUUGUUGAGUUGGCCUAGAUCGAGAUUAGGAUUUGUCACUCCGAUUGUCGGAGAGGUAUCUCUGGGCCCUCUCGGUAAUGCACAUCACUAUAAGCCUUGCAAGCAGUGUGACUAAUGAGUUAGUUGCGGGAUGUUGCAUUACAGAACGAGUAAAGAGACUUGCCGGUAACGAGAUUGAACUAGGUAUGAUGUACCGACGAUCGAAUCUCGGGCAAGUAACAUACCGAUGACAAAGGGAAUAACGUAUGUUGUUAUGCGGUUUGACGGAUAAAGAUCUUCGUAAAAUAUGUGGGAGCCAAUAUGAGCAUCCAGGUUCCACUAUUGGUUAUUGACCGGAGAUGAGUCUCGGUCAUGUCUACAUAGUUCUCGAACCCAUAGGGUCCACACGCUUAACGUUCGAUGACGAUCGGUAUUAUGAGUGUAUGUGUUUUGAUGUACCGAAGGUAGUUUGGAGUCUUGGAUGAGAUCACAGACAUGACGAGGAGUCUCGAAAUGGUCGAGACAUAAACAUUGAUAUAUUGAAAGACUAUAUUCGGACACCGGAAUAGUUCCGAGGUGUAUCGGGUAUUUUUCGGAGUACCGGGUGGUUACCGGAACCCCCCGUGGGGUUAUUGGGCCUCAUGGGCCUAGUAGUGGAAGAGAGGAGGCAGCAGCCAGGGAGGCGCGCGCCCCCCAAGCCCAAACCGAAUUGGACUAGGGGUUGGGGGGCGCCCCCCUUUCCUUUCUCUCCUCCUCCUCUUUCCCCCUUCUCCUAGUAGGAAUAGGAAGGGGGGCGGGGGCGAAUCCUACUUGGAGUAGGACUCCCCCGCCUUGGGCGCGCCUCCUCCUGGCCGGCCUCCUCCUCCCUCCCUCCUUUAUAUACGUGGGAGGGGGGCACCCCAAAGACACACUCAAGAUUUGUCUUAGCCGUGUGCGGUGCCCCCCUCCACAGUUACACACCUCGGUCAUAUCGUCGUAGUGCUUAGGCGAAGCCCUGCGCCGGUAACUUCAUCAUCACCGUCACCACGCCGUCGUGCUGACGGAACUCUCCCUCGGCCUCAACUGGAUCAAGAGUACGAGGGACGUCAUUAAGCUGAACGUGUGCUAAACACGGAGGUGCCGUACGUUCGGUGCUAGGAUCGGUCGGAUCGUGAAGACGUACGACUACAUCAACCGCGUUGAUAAACGCUUCCACUUUACGUGGACACACUCUCCCCGCUCGUUGCUAUGCUUCUCCUAGAUAGAUCUUGCGUGAUCGUAUGAAUUUUUUGAAAUACUACGUUCCCAACACACUUCACCAUCAUUGUCACCACGCCGUCGUGUUGACGGAACUCUCUCUCGACACUUUGCUGGAUCAAGAGUUGGAGGGACGUCAUCGAGCUGAACGUGUGCAGAACUCGGAGGUGCAGUACGUUCGGUGCUUGAUCGGUCGGAACGAGAAGAAGUUUGACUACAUCAACCGCGUUGUCAAACGCUUCCGCUUUCGGUCUACGAGGGUACGUGGACACACUCUCCCCCUCUCGUUGCUAUGCAUCUCCUAGAUAGAUCUUGCGUGAGUGUAUAAUUUUUUUGAAAUUGCAUUCUAUGUUUCCCAACACAAGGUUGUAAGAUGAACUUCUCUCUCAAAGUCCAAUGAUGCAAAAAUCUUUUUCUCUUGCAUAAGUAACAGUAGCAAAACCAAAUAUUGAAUCAUGACGUGCCAUGAGAGAAAGCAUGACUUGGUUAGGAGCACCUAAGAAGGACCAGGAUGUGCCCGCCCACAGGUUGAAACCGUGAACCUUAAUUUUGGGAGAGAAUUCCUUAUUUAACAUUAUUCUAAAAUUUGUUUCCUUAUUUGACACGGAAAAACUUUUCCUGGCUUAUCUAACACCGAGUCUAAAUGACACCUGAAAAGACCUAUUUGUCCCUCAUGUAUGGGAUCAAAAUCUCUGCUAUCAAAGGGCAGUACGUAGGUUGUUUCGUUCAUUCAUGAGCAUCUUGUCGCCGAGAACUCAGUUGCGGGGAAUGUAUAGCUGACCAACCGUGGAUCUGCGACGCUUUCUCUCCAGGCCCUUCUCAAAUUUGUCCACGAGAUGCAACAACAUUAGGUUGUCGACAUCGUCGUGCAAGAUCAUCUCUUCUAUGUUUGAAUCAUCCGACAAAGACGAUGACGAAGACAAACUCCAAUCCAUCUAAAAAGAUGCCCGACCAUGAAUUUCUCGCGGUCAACAUUGAAUUAAAAUAUUCGGCAAGCAUUGAACAUACCUUCUGCCGAAGCAAAGUCGGGCGCCCCUUUCUUCUCUUCGUCAGCCGAAGCAAAGCCGGCCGCCCCUUUCUUCUUCCCCUCUGGCCAAAACCCCUUCUUCCGUUGCACGCGGCUGUCCCUCGAGCGAUUUCAAGGCUCACCGGUGCCGGAAACAACCAGAUCCGCCGGCUACAAGCCCGCGCGCCAAGCUCCGGGGUGGAUCCAUGGCGCCGGUGAUGGCCACUAGCCUGCGGACACAAAUGGGCACCCCUGGUCACCAAAUUUGGUGGAAUUUAUGUGGCGUGGGGUGGUGGAUCUAAUGGACAGCGCGGGGCAGCAUGGGGCACCAAGAACUGGCUGGGAGAUGCGGCGGUGGCGGCGGGGAGUGAAGCGGGAACGGAAGCGGGCGGAAAUGGCCUUCACGCCAAGGAAAAAGGAUCCGGCAAAAUAGUGGUGAAUCCUGUAGGUAUGGCGGAAACGACACGAAGUAUGCAGGAUCACGCAAAAAAAAAUUUGGGACGACCGAUUUUGCGGCAUCUAUUCGGGCUGGAAAAAUCGCCCACAUCCCGUAAACCGGCGGUUUUUAUUCCGGAUGGCCCGGUUUAUGGGAUAUGCUAGAGAUGCUCUUAGACCGCUCGUAUGUGGGGGUGAAUAUUUGGGAUAUGCUAGAGAUGCUACGAAACUGAAAUUUUGAAGGAUAAUAAAUUUCAAAAAAGUUUGUGGAUGUUCAAAGGUAACUGUGUACAACCUUUGAAAUAUUAAACUCUAAACAUGAAUAGUGUCACAAGAAGACAAGAGACAAUCCCUACAUUUUGGUACCCUCUAGGUUGAGUUUUGUGGUACCUUUCAGGAAAUGUAGCAAGGAUGAUGAGUCCCUGCCCAGCUAGCUAGUACCUCGCUAUUCCUAGUUGAUACUCUUCAGCAAGUUUUCACUUCGAUUGUAAGAUGAGAUGUGCUAGGAAGGGAGAAAUCCUAUAAAUUCUAACAAAAAAUAAAAUAAAUCCAAUUAGAAAUUUAGUGGGCCUGGCGUAACCAUCCUUGACAACAAGUCAUUUGAAGUAACAUCUGUAUAUAGCUAGGUGUUAGGAGUAUUUAGCUAUUAUAUGUACCAACCCCUCAGAAAAGAAAAGAAAAAACUAUGUAUGUACCAGAGCCAUACUUGCUAUAGACAUGUCUGACCAUACAUGCUAGUAGUCCCUCCUUCAAGGUUUUGAGGAGGCCCAUUCAGUCAAGCCCAUCUGGUUAAUACAAUUUUUCCCAAUCAUGUUGUAUACAUGCACAAAGGUCUGGAGCAGUCUUAAACAUUCAAUCCAGUCGGCUGCUGGUUACUACAGUAUGCCACCAAAAUCUUUUUCUACAACCUCUCUAGAGUUUUCAACUUCAAACAACAGAAACAAGUGGAUUGAAAAUAACAUACCUUAACCAGUUAGUAAAACUCUAGAAAGAAAUGUCGCUACAACCGAACAAGUAAAUAAAUGUACAGAAAGCAAAUGGUUGCUAUUUGUUUCUGGAAAAAAGGUGGUCUCCUUUAUUAAAACAUCAAGCUCAUACAUGCACACACCAACAUGAUGAUAUACUGUAGUAACCAGCAGCCGACGAAGGAAAAAAAAAUCUCUUUAGCUUCAUGGCGAGACACUUUAUACAAGUACCAGGUUCUUCGCCGCCGAUGAAGAGGUGGACUCCGAAAUGAUGUCUCUACGGCCACCACCUCAACUGUUAAAGUGCCUAAGCUCAGCAUUCUUAUCUUAAAUCGGCAAAACUGACACCAUAUGUAAGAAAGAUGAACCAAAAACAAAGCGCGUAUUUAUCUUGCUCCAGGACUGCACACCUUCAAGUCGACCGUUUCUACGCAAAACAAAAAGCAGCAAGCAAAUUAAACUCCAGCCAAUACUCCCACCACAUGACCAAAGGUUCUUUCUUCCAUCAUAGCUUGCAGCACCAAGGUAACAAUCAGAUGCAAAUUUGUGCUAAUUGACUGCCAUAAUACACACAGUUACAUAUGCAAUCAUGGCCCCGAUGAAAACAUGGUGACACAAGCAGCAGGAUCAACCGAGUGCUACAAGCAACAAGUAAUACUCAAGAGUUUGCAUUCUGAACAACCAGCCUUGCAAGGAGAGAUCCAGACUAACCAUAACAUUUCCGCAACUAAAAAUGCAGUAACUAACAUCUAAGGAAAUGCUAGAGUGCGACUCUGUCAGCCAAAAGCAAUAACUGAAAAAAAAGACAAGCUCUGGGCCCAAUGGCAAAGAAAGCCAGGGAAGGAGUCUUUGAACCUUCAGAGACACCCCGUGGAGAACGGAAGUCUCCUCUUCUGCUUGCAUCUCAAGGGACGGAAUUGGAAUAAUGCUCUCUUGGAAGCGGCGGGGAGUAAGCGACAUACAGUAUUGACUCUCUCCAAUCUUCACCAAACCUAAGACCUUGCCAUCAGUGCCGCAACGCAACACAUGCUUACUGUUAAACAUGAUCAGCAGCUCACGCUCGUUAAGCGCAACCAUAUCAUUGAACCAUCGCACUUUUGAAUGAAGUGGUGUUUUCUUUUUCCUUUUGCAAGAGGUCAGCUAAAGUUGCCGUGAUGCGUCGACCGUUGCCAGGUCAAUCCGGUGCUUGAAAUCCCAGAUUCCAGCCUUGUAGUCCUGCAUCACCCAAAUAUCCAAAGCGGUGAAACUCAAACAACCAUCUGCAUCACCCUCGAUUGAGCUGCCCCAGAAACCAAGUGUCCCAUUCAUAUCGAACAAGCUCCUAUUAGGGUACAGCUGGUCAGGACUGCACAUCCACCGGAAUAGCUCCGCUUCUGUGUCGAACACAACAAUGUCUCCGCUGCCUCCAGUAAUGUCGGCGACACCGCAAACAGAAAAAGGACACCAGUGCAGGCUGCCACGGUGGUGAACUGCUGGUGGACAAUGGUUCAAAUAGCGCAACACGCUCAUUAACUUAUGUUUCAUGGAAGGUGACGAGACUGUUGGCAUUCUGACUGACGUGCCUCCGCUCAUCGGAUCCCACUGCGAGGAUGUAUAAGCUGGGUCUGACCACCGAGAGACGACGGAAUACGGCCCAGAGCACCCUGUAUUCUCCAGUUGGCUGGUGCCGAUAGAAACCAAUUAUGUCUCUCCACCCAGCGUUCCUAGCUCGAGGGUCCGGUAGGAGAGCACGCUUGUCGAUGACCGGGUUGUAGAUGUAGUAUUCAUUUCCCUCUAUGAGGAUGAGGAAGCCAUCACAGGCGACUGAGAGCCGAGGUUUUUUGCGGUAGUGCUUGAAACCCGGGAUGAAGGGCCAGAGCUGUUGACUGGAGGCGCCGGCGCCAGGGCCUUGGAAGACGACGAAACUGGCAGGCCGCCCGCGCCCGUCGAUGAUGGGGAGCGAUGGCUGGCGGUGGUGGUGUUCGAGCAUAAAUUCGGGCGUGGAGGUGGCACUGCACCAUGACGUACUGACAGCACGGCACUGGCCGACAUCCUUGGGCGGCAAUCGGAUGAGUAUCCUGUCAAUGAUUUCCUCAGGGAGGUCCUCGAGCAGGGUCGCUCCUCUCCUGUCCGGCAUGGUGCUCUGCUGUCGAGUCCGGUCAACUAAACAAAGCAGCAAGCUGUCCUUAUUGAUUUGCUUCGGCGACCAGCUUAAACGAAGGAAAACAAGUAGAAAAGCACAUACAUGUCCCUGGGAGGCGAACGCACAGAGCAGCAGGUUCCAGCGACGACGGUGAGAAUUGCGGCUGUGGACAGGAACACAGGAACCCGGUUGAGUGCCAAGGGGGAGUAAGGUGACGUGCUUGUCCGAAAUCAGGCCAAGAGGAGAGAGCUCGGACAGGAAGCCAUUGCAGGAGGUUGAGCCAGAACCAAGGGCACUCCAGACUGCAACUUUUCACAAGAAGAGAAUCAGCACAGAGCAAAUUAUAAGUAGAACAGAGUAUUGAAGCAGAAACUGAACAUUUACAAGAAGAUCAUUGCACAGAAGACCAGAUUAUACUAGAGCAGGUUAGACAAGAAGCAGAUUAUAUGGAAGCAAGAAUUGAAUAGUUACAGAGCAGACUAUACAAGAAGCAACAAGAACAAACACUACAGGGAAGAACCGAACGAACCACAAACAACAUUUAACACAUUAUUAGGAGGGUUCAAUUCGGUAGCAGCAUCUGAUAGGAACUCAGGCCAUUUCAUAACAGUACUCUCGUCUCGCCCACAAGAUGCUAAAACAUCUGCUGGGUCAAUGCGUCGAACGGUUGGCGUGCGCCAGAGAAGAUGCAUGAGCACGAUGAGGUGGCAGCGUUCACCUGCCCCUGCGAAGCUCGGGGAGAGGUGGACGGGUGGCGCAGGAGGAUGGCAGGACAGCCGAGGGCGCGUCGGGGAUAAGGGCGCGCGCAGUCGGGACAAAGCUCCUGUGGAGUGCGCAGGCUGUGCUGUGCGGAGAAGGCGACGGAGGCAGCACGCCCUACGCGGCGGCCCGCGCCAUGUCGAGCAUGGUGCGGAGAGAAGAGGCCACGCGAGGGUGCCGAAGCGGCGGCCGCCGGAGUCGAGGGUGGCGGAGGUGAGGACGGGCACGGGAACGGCAAAGCCCAGAGGAGCUCCUGUUGCGCGCUGUGGCUAGGCCGGCCAAUCUUCCUGGCUCCUGAGAAACAGAGCCCAAGAAGAACUUCACUACUCUAGUCGACUUUGUUACAUCAUUCUAAAAAACCCCAACUUUUCCAUACAAAAAUUUCAGAAAAAAUUGAAAAGUAUUAGAAAAUGUUACGAUUUAAAUAAUAUAUAUAUACAUGUUUAAAAAUGUUCAAGAAUUUUACAAAAUGUUUGGGAACUUAAAAAAUGUUCAUAAGGCCCUGAAUAUAAAAAUGAGCAGGUAAAAAAGCAAAAACCCAAAAGAUAAUCGGCAGAACACACAAAGAAGAACAUUGAGAACGAAGGAAAAACAGAAUCCCAGAUGAAUAAGCUUUUAAAAACUUUCCAUAAAAAGUGGAAAAAACAGAAAGAAAGAAGAAAAAAACCUGCCCUGCUACGACAUCCAACAGAAUUAUUCUUCCACCAGAAUCAUGGUCCUUCGACACAAUUAUAAUGUCAACAUUAACCAUGAAAAAGCCCUCCGCCGCCAGGGUCCCACAU
RNAcentral lists this long non-coding RNA (40014 nucleotides) under Triticum aestivum (bread wheat). RNAcentral describes it as "long non-coding RNA (TAES_LNC024886)". The stretch from base 7533 to 7647 matches the Rfam family "MIR1120/MIR1122 microRNA precursor family". The record is from RNAcentral. Lineage: Eukaryota; Viridiplantae; Streptophyta; Magnoliopsida; Poales; Poaceae.